GGAGCAAUCUGACAGUAGAGUGGCGCAAGGGUGCGUAACGCGUAAGUAACUUGCCCCAAGGUAAGGAAUAACGUCGAGAAAUCGGCGCUAAUACCUCAUAAUGCAGCGGAUCCGCAUGGAUAUGUUGUUAAAGGUUUACCGCCUUGGGAUAGGCUUGCGUCUGAUUAGCUAGUUGGUGUGGUAACGGCACACCAAGGCUACGAUCAGUAACUGGUCUGAGAGGAUGAUCAGUCACACUGGAACUGAGACACGGUCCAGACUCCUACGGGAGGCAGCAGUGAGGAAUAUUGGGCAAUGCUCGAAAGAGUGACCCAGCAACGCCGCGUGGAGGAUGAAGGUAUUCUAUAUCGUAAACUCCUGUGAGAGCAGACGAAAGACAGAUUAUUAAUCUGGAUGACUGUAUGCUCAGAGGAAGCCCCGGCUAACUACGUG
RNAcentral lists this ribosomal RNA (432 nucleotides) under uncultured bacterium. RNAcentral describes it as "bacterial SSU rRNA". It matches the Rfam family "Bacterial small subunit ribosomal RNA", at positions 76 to 507 of the family's 1533-position model. The record is from RNAcentral.